GUCAGGCUGUAGAAGAGCUCUGUAUUUGCGAAUGAUAAAAAUCAGUUCUUAAACCUGUCAGCAAAAGUUUCGAACAUUAACUAUUAAUUAGGGAAACUCAGGCCACUCCAGGUGAAAUUUGCCAUAUAAUGAACAGUGUUUGGUAAAUAGAUAUACCAAAAAUGAAAACGAAAUGGCCGUACUUUCCAAACAUAAUCGGUUUGUUUGGUUUCCUUGCGUCAUUGUUAUUUACGUAAAAGCGUUUUUAGUUCCUGAAGCGUGGAAAAAAAACAAGCCUCAUAAAUAUGUGAGAUUAAUCAAACAGGAUCUUAAACAAAUGCUGAAAAAGUAAGUCAUUCUUACAGAGUUCCCCAUGGCUUUAUUUUAACAAUCCCUAAAUUAUGUGAAACAAGAUUUUAAUGUACUUUGAUACAGUAUCAGUACGGCUGUUCUUUUUAAUAAUUAUUAAAUUAUAUAUAUUAGCAAAGGCAUUUAAAAUAAUAGUUCCAAAAAUGUCACUAAAAUACCAAUGGAUUUCGUUCAUAUUUAAAACCUGCAACUGUUGUUAUUCUGCGGCACAAUUCAAACACCCGCCUGGGGAGAGGUUUGUCUGGUUUUCAGCAAUUAAUUAUCCUGUAACGUCGCAACAGAUGACCCGUUGGAAAGAGUAGGAAAAAGUAAGCUGGUGUGGGGCAGCGGGGGCUUGGAGAGACCCCCUUCCCGAUUUUCCGUUUCGCUUUUCUCUGCCCUGCUGAGAAAACCCGAUCACGUCACCGCCUCAUGGUUUCUGGAACGCCGGUGACGUCACGGCGCUUUCCGGUAAGGGGCAGGGGAGGCACCGAGCUGUGACUGGGACCGGGGGUCUGGCUGUGGUUCUGGGUCAGGCUGCAGGCUGGAAGGCCUGCUGGCUGAGAGAAGUUUUCCCUGUGUGCCCUGAGACAGCGUGGAGUCCCCUCCAGUUUGCUUUCCCGCCAUGCAGCCUGUGCUUCCAGGAAAGCUGGACACAUAUUGGUCUGCUGGAAUUUCAUCUGUCAGGUUGAUCCUGCAAAAAGGACAACAAGUGAGGUCCUCUGACAGGACCAGUGUAAAACUGCGCAGCCAGGUUACCAUCAGUCACUGAAAGAGGACUGGACACUCCUGGUCACACUACUGCACUUAGACAACACCGCUAUGUCGCUGAUGGACUGUGUCUGGUUGUAUUGUUUUGCCAGUUAAAUCACUGCAGGCUGUCAGUAUCUCAGAAGACCACCUGCUUCCAGGAUCAAUGAUAACAGGGAUCAAGGUGCCUGUAAAUCCAAGUAAAUAACUCCUGAGCUUUUACUGGCAAAGUGAAACAUAACAAAAACAGCCUCUGGCCCCUAUCUCCCACCCAGGCUCUCAUCCCAGUGCAGGCUGAGGGCGUGGACUCCUCAGGUGGGCUCUCCUGUCUCUUCAUGCUUGUGACUUACAACACUGUUUUCACACAGAGCCCAAAGAACUCUGCCAGCCCGGAGAUGGAACAUGGCAGAACUUCAGAUGUUGUUUUGGAAAAGGAACAAGAGUGGAUUAAACUGAAAACUUGAGCCUGAAGGCAUUUAUAAACCCAGUACUUUAUAGCAGAGGCUUCUUGCUUCUAUCCAGUAAUAAGUCCACUGGUUACAAAGGAAUUAAACAUGCUCAUUCAUUUUCCUCUCCACUGACCCACCUACAGUAUGCAACCUCUGAGCUAAAAUGGCUAAAUUCCCUGUAGGCUAGAAGUGUGCCCUUGUUCCGUCUCAUUUCAAAGGGGUGAUAUGUCAGCCUUUUGGUGCUUUUCUAAGAGCAAGGAGAAGAAUCUUUGAAAAUAAAAUUUUUUUAGACAUCAUCUGAGAUACAGUCAAGUUUUCGUACUAAGUGUGGAUGUUUUGAAAAGUUCAAAAUGCUAUAAUAGUGAGUCUUGAUAAAAAUCAUAAUUGUCCAGUUAUCUUUAUCAUCUAAGGUUUUUAUAAAUCUAAGGUUUUUGAUGGAUCACUGGGUUGUUCAGAAACAAUUGGAUUGGUACUUGAAAUGAACUCCCUCACAUGGUUUCAGAAUUACAUAACCAAUCUGACAUUUGCACAGAGUUGAUUCCCGGUUCCUGCUGUUCUCUCCAUCUAUAUUAAGAAAGUUGUUCAGAUCCACCAACACUAUGCCAGUGAUACCAUCUUAUACUAAACUGAACUCACUUUAUUAUCAGUAAUGUGAGAUUUGUGCCUCAGUUUUGACAACAACAGGAUUGCUGUAACUGUACUCUGAUGAAACCCCUCUGUGUAUCCAUUAGUUGAAAUGUCUG
Molecule: non-coding RNA, 2269 nt
Organism: Lepisosteus oculatus (spotted gar)
Lineage: Eukaryota; Metazoa; Chordata; Actinopteri; Semionotiformes; Lepisosteidae
Source: RefSeq, a predicted model, not a curated record